UAAGUGGGAGGGCCAGGAAAGAAGCCAAGCAGAAUGAGCUUGCUUUUGAAUCCAUCUUUAGCAGGUCAGAGAGCAGCUCUCCUCGACGGGAGAGAAAGAAAAGCUCAAAGAAGAAGAAGCACAGGUAUGAGGUGGGAAUACUUGAAUGAUUGGAGAAGGUUUGCUGAAUUCAGGCAGAGGUGUUUCUUAUGUUUUUUCUUCUCUUUUUUCCAACAGGUCAGAAUCUGAGUCCAAGAAACGUAAGCAUAGGUCUCCCACUCCAAAGAGCAAACGUAAAUCUAAGGACAAAAAGCGAAAGCGGUCUCGAAGUACAACACCAGCCCCCAAGAGCCGCCGGGCCCACCGUUCAACUUCUGCUGACUCUGCUUCCUCCUCCGAUACUUCCCGCAGUCGGUAAGGGGUAGUCCAGGAGGAAGGGAGGGAGAGGGAAUGAUGGGUUAAUUAAUUUAAUAUUUAUUGAGCGCCCACGGUGUGCUAGGCGCUGCACAGACCAUUCGGAAGACACGGUCCCUGCCCUCUAGGAGCUGACAGGCUAAAGCAACAGGAUGGACAGACAUAUACAUUUCCCCUUCUCU
Molecule: small RNA, 575 nt
Filed under: Pan troglodytes (chimpanzee)
Lineage: Eukaryota; Metazoa; Chordata; Mammalia; Primates; Hominidae
Description: retained intron
Source: RNAcentral